UCGAAUUACCUGAAGGGGAACUGGUCGC
RNAcentral lists this non-coding RNA (28 nucleotides) under Mus musculus (house mouse). Lineage: Eukaryota; Metazoa; Chordata; Mammalia; Rodentia; Muridae. The record is from RNAcentral.